UGGGGCGUAGCCAAGCGGUAAGGCAACGGGUUUUGGUUCCGCUAUUCGGAGGUUCGAAUCCUUCCGUCCCAG
RNAcentral lists this transfer RNA (72 nucleotides) under Strongylodon macrobotrys. Its description in RNAcentral is "tRNA-Gln". It matches the Rfam family "tRNA". From Rfam's summary of the family: Transfer RNA (tRNA) molecules are approximately 80 nucleotides in length. Their secondary structure includes four short double-helical elements and three loops (D, anti-codon, and T loops). The record is from RNAcentral. Lineage: Eukaryota; Viridiplantae; Streptophyta; Magnoliopsida; Fabales; Fabaceae.